GAUAGGCAAAUGAAAACUGUUACUGACCAUGAUUUCAAAAAUAUAGCUAUUUGAAGUUUAUCAUAAAUGCAUUUGUUUAUCCCCUGUUAUCUGCACAGUAUGGUUUUGCACCAUAAAUCUAGAGGUUUUUCAUGACCCGAGUUAGAAUCAAAAUAAGUAGUAAGAAUUGUAAUUAAAAUAAAAAUAGCAGGAAAGAGGUGGUUGAAAUGUAAU
Cinara cedri is the source of this 213-nucleotide non-coding RNA. Lineage: Eukaryota; Metazoa; Arthropoda; Insecta; Hemiptera; Aphididae. The record is from the annotation of a GenBank genome assembly.